GCGAUCAUAACAGCACUAAUGCACCGAAUCCUAUCUGAACUCCGCAGUUAAGAGUGCUUGGGUGAGAGCAGUACUAGGAUGGAUGACCCCCCCUAUGGUCCUU
Molecule: non-coding RNA, 103 nt
Organism: Ilex paraguariensis (yerba mate)
Lineage: Eukaryota; Viridiplantae; Streptophyta; Magnoliopsida; Aquifoliales; Aquifoliaceae
Source: the annotation of a GenBank genome assembly